GGAGACCGAGUGUGAAUAGCGCGUACAGUUUGCAGUAUACGACCCGAAACCGGGUGACCUAACCAUGGACAGGUUGAAGUGGAAGUAAAAUUCCAUGGAGGACCGAACCCACGUCUGUUGAAAAAGGCGGGGAUGAGCUGUGGUUAGCGGUGAAAUUCCAAUCGAACUCGGAUAUAGCUGGUUCUCAUCGAAAUAGCUUUAGGGCUAGCCUCAGGAUAGUUUAGCGGAGGUAAAGCACUGAAUGGGCUAGGGGGCUUCACGGCUUACCGAACCCUAUCAAACUCUGAAUGCCGCAUAAAUGUUUCCUGGGAGUCAGACUGCGUGAGAUAAGUUUCGUAGUCAAAAGGGAAAGAGCCCAGACCUACAGCUAAGGUCCCUAAAUGAAUUUAAGUGGAAAAGGAUGUGCAGUUGCGUAGACAACUAGGACGUUGGCUUAGAAGCAGCCACUCAUUUAAAGAGUGCGUAAUAGCUCACUAGUCGAGUGAUUGUGCGCCGAAAAUGUAACGGGGCUAAAAUUCAUACCGAAGCUUAGGAAUGAUAGUAAUAUUGUUGGUAGAUGAGCGUUGUGUAAGUCUGCGAAGCUACACCGAAAGGAGUAGUGGAGAUAUCACAAGUGAGAAUGCCGGAAUGAGUAGCGAGAAUUAUGUGAGAAUCAUAAUGGUCGAAAAUCUAAGGUUUCUUGAGGAAGGUUCGUCCGCUCAAGGUAAGCCGGGAGCUAAGGCGAGGCCGAGAGGCGUAGUCGAUGCACAUACGGUAAAGAUUCCGUAGCCACCGAAGUCGUUAAAUACAGGGACACAGGAACAUAGCCUAACCCCACCGUUGGUUGAGUGGGGCGUAAGGGAGCGAAAAUUAGUAGCGAAGUAGGUGAUUGUACACUGGCGAGAAAAGCUGUAUGAAUUGACAAGGUGCCCGUACCGCAAACCGACACAGGUAGAUGAGGAGAGAAUCCUAAGACCAGCGGGAGAAGUGUUGUUAAGGAACUCGGCAAAAUGACCCCGUAACUUCGGGAUAAGGGGAGCCUACGCGAGUAGGCCGCAGAGAAUAGUCUCAAGCGACUGUUUAGCAAAAACACAGGUCUAUGCUAAAUCGAAAGAUGAUGUAUAUGGGCUGACGCCUGCCCGGUGCUGGAAGGUUAAGGGGAAGUGUUAGAGCAAUCGAAGCACUGAACUUAAGCCCCAGUAAACGGCGGCCGUAACUAUAACGGUCCUAAGGUAGCGAAAUUCCUUGUCAGGUAAGUUCUGACCCGCACGAAUGGCGUAACGACUUGAGAGCUGUCUCAACAACAUACCCGGCGAAAUUGAAGUACUGGUAAAGAUGCCAGUUACCCGUGAUAAGACGGAAAGACCCCAUGGAGCUUUACUGUAACUUGAUAUUGAAUUUUUGUAUUACAUGUACAGGAUAGGUGGGAGACAGAGAACUAAUGCCGCCAGGUGUUAGGGAGUCGAUGUUGGGAUACCACUCUUGUAAUAUGAAGGUUCUAACCUGCACCCGUGAAUCCGGGUGGGGGACACUGUCAGGUGGACAGUUUGACUGGGGCGGUCGCCUCCUAAAAGGUAACGGAGGCGUUCAAAGGUUGGUUCAGCACGGACGGAAAUCGUGCAACGAGUGCAAACGCAUAAACCAGCCUAACUGCGAGACCGACAAGUCGAGCAGUAACGAAAGUUGGAGUUAGUGAUCCGGCGGUAUGUGAGUGGAAAUGCCGUCGCUCAACGGAUAAAAGCUACCCUGGGGAUAACAGGCUGAUCUCCCCCAAGAGUCCACAUCGACGGGGAGGUUUGGCACCUCGAUGUCGGCUCAUCGCAUCCUGGAGCUGUAGUCGGUUCCAAGGGUUGGGCUGUUCGCCCAUUAAAGCGGUACGCGAGCUGGGUUCAGAACGUCGUGAGACAGUUCGGUCCCUAUCUGU
RNAcentral lists this ribosomal RNA (1903 nucleotides) under human gut metagenome. RNAcentral's name for it is "bacterial LSU rRNA". It matches the Rfam family "Bacterial large subunit ribosomal RNA", at positions 672 to 2645 of the family's 2925-position model. The record is from RNAcentral.